CAAAGGACUAAGAUAAGCCUAAGUGCAUCUCAGCUGAUAACUAAGAACUCGGCUUACUAUUUAAUCACCUCAGCGUCCUGUGUGAGCGAGCACUCACUUUUCAACCCUGCUUGAUGUGAAAGGAAGGAACUGCACUUGCUGGGAGAGGGUUCCUUUAUGGGAAGCAUGGGCCUCACAUUAGCAUGGUGACUUCUGUCUUCCAGUGCUGAGAGUGUGACUGCACCAUAUAAUCCAGUGCUGCCAAUCAGAUCUGAACAAAAGAAAUAGCAGUUGUCUGACUGUGAAUCAUUUCUUCACCUUGAUUAAUGUCCUGACCCUGCAAAGCAAUCUGCCUGCAGGACUCCGCCUGGAUAUAAGGGCCUGUGUUGAUGGAUCUCUUUGCAGAGUUGUGGCCUUAGUCUGCAUUUUUAUUUUUGAAGGAAUCAAAAUGCAUGCCUAUAUUUAGGCACAGUUGGGCUCAGUUAAAAGGUGCAAACAAUAACUCGGCAUUUCCUUUACAGUCACUUCGUACUUUUACAUUAUUUUAAAUGGAGUUUUGGUUUUUUGAUGCUUAACUUUUAAAUAUAAAUUUACCAAAGAACGGAAGGUGAAAAUCCUUGUCCUCAGGUGCACAUCCCUUCCUCUCCCACUGAAAAUGGCCCAGCCCCCUCUGCAGUUGUUGGUCCCUUCCCUCCCUUAACCCAAAUUCCUCUCCCAGCUAUCUGCAACUAAAACAAUGCCAAACGCUCUGACUACUGAUUCCUUGGCUCCUCCCUACUCCCAAUCCUCCUGCAACCAUUCUCAGAAGUCAUUCAAAACGAGGAGAGGGUUUCUGGAAGCAGAGAAGAUGGUGAAGGUCAGAUUCUCAAGAUGGAUUUUCACUCCAGACAAGCAUCCUGUUUGGUCCCAUCUUCCAGCUGCUGGAAUCCCACCCCACUUAAUGAUCUAACAUCCCCUAAAUGCCCACCCUAAAUAUCUCCCUCACCGCUUCAAAACUAACCUAGUGUGUAAGGACCAGAACACAGCUCUGCAGAGCCUGGGAGGGCUGAUAUUCCUGCAGUGCCACCAAGAGGCCAUACAGUAGCACAGCCAGGGAGCACUAUGGAGAGUAGGUAUAACCCACACAUCUCCUGGGUGUGGUGUUCUGUCUUCUCUAGUGGCACCAAGACCACUUAGAGAGAGAGAGAGAUUAAUGAGUCUGCUCUACAGCCUUAGCUAAGGGCCAUGUGGCUUUUAGCUCAUGCAGUAGAGGCUCAUGCACUAAGCUCCAGAGGCCCCAGGUUUGAUUCCACCUGCCGAUGACCAGCGUCUGUCGGUGUUACAUAGGCACCGCAGGAAGUGCCGCCUAAGAAACCCAGAAUGACUGUGUGGCUAAGCACCCUAUUUAACCCCAGGGGUUGACCCAGGAAGUUGUCUGGGCAGUAAUUCAGAUCUUGGGCUGCUGCGAUGCCAAACUUUGCUUGAUAUUCUGGUUUCUGACUCCAGCCUGACUCUGACCCUGAUUCCUGCCUCUUGAGUCUAACCUGGUACUGCCUCUGGCCUCUGAUCUCUGAUGCCAGCCUAACUCUGACCGUUCCACCUCUGAUCUCCGGUCUCUGACCCCACCCCUGACUCUUGCUUAUGGAAGUGGGUUCCUGUAAUUCCUCCAUCUCCUGCCCAGUGACUACCGUCCCUGGAGGGCAGACCUCGGCCCAGCUGUGACCACUAGAUAAGCCUGCCUGUGCCCUGGUCCCUUACACGCAGUUUCCAGGUGUCAUCCACUAGAAUACUGACAGAUUAGUAUGAGUUAAUGUAGAACUGAAAUACAUACUGCACCUAUUAAGCACUACUAUUUUUCAGUGUAUGUGGUUUUGGUUUUAUUUAACUAGGAUGUGAGGAUGGAGAGAGGAGGGCACUUCUACCUGCCUGUCUGAUGAUUUCUCCACUUUUGCCUAAUUUACUUUCCCUAACUCCUAACAGAGAUUGGUUUAAGCCCUGAAGCAUGAAAUGUCAUAUCCCAUCUCAAACUCUAAUUUUUAGUAUUUGCUAUUGUAACUUUGGAUAUUCUUGUUAUCCAUAUAAAACCCAGUCCCACUUUAAAUCUUGCUAGACAUUCAUAAUACUAGUACUACAUAAUACAAAGUACUAGACAUUCAUAAUAAAGAAAAAAAAUCCUCAUUCAAGGACUGGCAGCCAACAGUUGUCUCCCAGUUCUAGGGGACAUUAUCACACCACAAAGGCCACUUUAGGAUCACCUCCUAUAGAAGGUCUACAUCUCAGCAGGCUAGUGGGUCCUCCAAUGGCACCCUCUUUUCCUCAUUCUGCUUUCUCUGUCUCUUGCUUCUUUGUCUUUCUGUUUCAGUCUUUUCUUCUCCUUCAUUUGUCUAUUUUUCCUUCUUUUGUUAACAAGCUCCAAUAUGGCUGUGAUGCUGGCAGAUCAGGUGCCAGCUCAUGCCAAAGCCCCGGGUUAAUUCACUUGUGUAUUAAUAUAGAUCAAAAUAAUUGUUAAAUAUAUAAGAGUAUUUGGUGUUUAACCUUCAUGGAAAAUUAAUGGGAUUUUAUGGGAAAACAAUGCAUGUAUCUGCAUUCUGUUCUAAUGUAAUAGCAAAUAUUUACAUUGUAAAUUCCCCUGUACUAAAUAACUAUCAAACCUAGAAGAAACCU
This is a long non-coding RNA of Caretta caretta (loggerhead turtle), 2622 nucleotides long. RefSeq lists it as uncharacterized. The record is from RefSeq and is a predicted model, not a curated record. NCBI's taxonomy places the organism in Eukaryota, Metazoa, Chordata, Testudines, Cheloniidae.